This 253-nucleotide ribosomal RNA is filed under the name uncultured bacterium. RNAcentral's name for it is "partial 16S ribosomal RNA". It matches the Rfam family "Bacterial small subunit ribosomal RNA", at positions 524 to 776 of the family's 1533-position model. The record is from RNAcentral.
UACGAAGGGGGCUAGCGUUGUUCGGAAUUACUGGGCGUAAAGCGCAUGUAGGCGGUCACUCAAGCCAGAGGUGAAAUCCCGGAGCUCAACUUCGGAAUUGCCUUUGGAACUGUGUGACUGGAGUCUCGGAGAGGAUGGUGGAAUUCCAAGUGUAGAGGUGAAAUUCGUAGAUAUUUGGAGGAACACCGGUGGCGAAGGCGGCCAUCUGGACGAGUACUGACGCUGAGAUGCGAAAGCGUGGGGAGCAAACAGG